Paramuricea clavata is the source of this 470-nucleotide non-coding RNA. The record is from the annotation of a GenBank genome assembly. Lineage: Eukaryota; Metazoa; Cnidaria; Anthozoa; Malacalcyonacea; Plexauridae.
AUCUUGGAGUAAAACGGCCUCUUGUAAAGAGUAAUUUAGGAAGCAGUAUUGGAAUCCUUUAUACAGUAUAUGACUAAAUGCUUUAUAGCUAGUAAAUAUACAACAAAGAAAAAUAAUAUGGAUAAUUUCCCUUUUCUAAUAAAUGUUAAGUAUAGAUAUAGUUAGACGGUAGUAGUAGGCGUCCCCAAUUACUUUCUAGUAAACAAGAACGAUUUAUUGAUUUGUUAUUCUUGUUAUUAAAAUCUAGUAAUCUACACGUGCUGAUGACAAUUAUAAUUACUAUUUGUAAUGUUUACUGUAUACGGGCAGUAAUGCAAUAGUUUUAUUGAAUAUAAUUAACUAGCUAUUUAAAUACACAUAUAUAAUGAGGUGCAUGCAUAUUAGAUAAAGUCAGGAUACUACAUCCCUUCCAACUUAAUUUAGAACUUGCUAUAUUUUUAAUAAUAAUUCUACAUACUAUAAUAAUUGUG